Molecule: transfer RNA, 57 nt
Filed under: Bos taurus (domestic cattle)
Lineage: Eukaryota; Metazoa; Chordata; Mammalia; Artiodactyla; Bovidae
Also listed under: 3 other names
Rfam family: tRNA
About the family: Transfer RNA (tRNA) molecules are approximately 80 nucleotides in length. Their secondary structure includes four short double-helical elements and three loops (D, anti-codon, and T loops). Further hydrogen bonds mediate the characteristic L-shaped molecular structure. tRNAs have two regions of fundamental functional importance: the anti-codon, which is responsible for specific mRNA codon recognition, and the 3' end, to which the tRNAs corresponding amino acid is attached (by aminoacyl-tRNA synthetases). tRNAs cope with the degeneracy of the genetic code in two manners: having more than one tRNA (with a specific anti-codon) for a particular amino acid; and 'wobble' base-pairing, i.e. permitting non-standard base-pairing at the 3rd anti-codon position.
Source: Rfam by way of RNAcentral
UGACUUAGACGGUAAAGAAUCUGCCUGCAAUGCAGCAGACCCAGGUUCGAUCCCUGG